RNAcentral lists this ribosomal RNA (36 nucleotides) under uncultured Atheliaceae. RNAcentral's name for it is "partial 28S ribosomal RNA". Lineage: Eukaryota; Fungi; Basidiomycota; Agaricomycetes; Atheliales; Atheliaceae. The record is from RNAcentral.
UGACCUCAGAUCAGGUAGGACUACCCGCUGAACUUA